AAAAAUUGUGGAACAGACGUGGGGUCACAUACUUAUCGCAAAUCACGGCCGGUGGUCACUUGGCGGACUUCCCAUCCCUUACCCAACAAUUCAAUCUCCCAGGGAAGGCUUAUUUUUCAUACCUGCAAUUAAAAUCCUGGGUAGGGAAACAUUCUGGACUGAACAGACCUCAGAACCAUAGCACGUUGCUGACAGAGAUGGAAAAACUAUGUACAACCUCCAAAC
This is a non-coding RNA of Pelobates cultripes (western spadefoot toad), 225 nucleotides long. The record is from the annotation of a GenBank genome assembly. Lineage: Eukaryota; Metazoa; Chordata; Amphibia; Anura; Pelobatidae.